Long non-coding RNA from Paramacrobiotus metropolitanus, 1947 nucleotides. RefSeq lists it as uncharacterized. The record is from RefSeq and is a predicted model, not a curated record. NCBI's taxonomy places the organism in Eukaryota, Metazoa, Tardigrada, Eutardigrada, Parachela, Macrobiotidae. The transcript has 3 exons.
AUAAAUAGGCAAAAGUGCCAGAGAUGACAAAGUCUAAAUGAGUAAGUAGAUUAAUCAUGCACAGAAAAGUCCAUUACGUAACAUACGGAAUUUGUGUAGUACUGGUAAGUGGCAGUUUGUCAGUGUCAUUCUCUGAAUUUCAUCUCAAAUAUCCAUACAGCGCCACAAUCCCAGCGAUGGCCAAUAUGCCCAGGACACCUAAUCCGAGCAGCAGCGAAAUCUUUUUACACGCUCUACUAGACGAUUGGAGGGCAUGUUGCUCGAGCCUCGUUGAAUUUUCCCAACCGACCGGGUCUUCAUACGCCCCAUCCGUAUAGAUGCGCGACCUUCCCCUCCACCAUCGGGUCGCAUGACUAUGGUCUCCGCGGACACCACCCGGGCACCGGUGGAUUUCACCCACUGGUCCAGACGGGCGCGCGUGGACUCUUGGCUUUCGAACUGACCGGAACCUAUCAAAAUUCCCGGUGCGCUCGUCAUGUUCGGAGCGAAGAGUUUGGCAUGUAGUCGAAUAGUGGGUCUUGCCACUUGAUGAUACGGGUCUUCGAUGAUAUACGAUACACGGAGAUACCUAGAGUAGAGUAACUUCAUUAAUAAACCCAGCACAAUACGCAAGUGAUUCAAGUUCUUGGAAGGAAUUUUGGUUAUUUUUAAAUUAUGGUAAUUACAGCUGCAUUAAAAACCAUUAUACAGAGUAGAAUAUGCUUGCAGAUUGCCAUCAUACUUGAAGUUUUGAUUCAUUCAGGCACCUUCUCAAUUAUACCUAAUAACCACGCAUCUACACGUAUUAAAUUUUUAUUUACCUCAUAUAAUUCAGCUUUGUUUCGUCUUCAUCAUACGACAUGUUCUUUGUAUCUGCGCCAGCAUUGUAACUCCACCGGAAAGUGACUGUUUGCACGUUGAUCACUCGAUAAUUUGGCGGCGCUGAAAGUAACCACUGUCGUGCACGUUCUAUGACCUGUGGGAACGCUUCCACGACGGGAUAGUCUGCAUACCGCAAACUGUUAUCUAAAACGGCCGGCAAGAAAUCUUGCACCUCCACUUUGCAGCGUUGCGGUCGACCUUGUAAAUAAAAUAUCCGAAUAAGAUUGACGAAGUUGCAGCUUGAAUCGCCACGUUCUGUCCAGCUAGUCCGAUCGGGAUGCAAACCUUACCGAAAGUAAAACAACAUCAACAUACUGCAACAACACCUUCAACAAGUAACAAUACUACAACAACCUAACAAGUAACAGGUACUAGUAAUUAUUACUAUGUUACAAUUUUUUUCAAAGACGACGUACUCGUACCAAGUUUUGCGAUACAUACAGUACGUUUACUAACCGCUGUACUCGCAUUGUACCUGUCGACCCCCAUUUUAUUGGUUGAGUUUCGACUGUGAUGAGCUGCCCAGGAAUUCGGUCCCUUUCGAAUUGUUGAUUAAUUCUGCCCAAAAGGGAAUCAAGUCGUUCCACAUUAUAAUGAUUGGCACGUUUCGCCAGCACGGAAAAUGAUUCGAAUUUCGGUCGACUGGAAGAACCGCUACUGGCAGACAUCUCCGGUAAAAAGUCUACCGAACCGAGACCGGCAGAAUCCGCCAUUUUCAGUACCGUCGCCUUUUCCAUUUUGAAGCGAAAUAUCUCCCCCCUUCAAAGACUAUCGGCUCGCACCGCAUGAGCUGUUACCGGAGAAACCGCAUGAGCUGUUACCGCGCGGGGAAAUAUCACCAAAAGCAGACGUGGUCUCAAAUUUCCGUAACAAAAAUUUUGCCAGUUGUCAAACAAAUUUUUCAAACGGAUCUGUAGGUGCUCGAGUGGUGUUAACAGUGAUAAAAAUAGGCGAGCUAUAGUGGUUAGGUUGCAGGCAACUUAUAUUAUUAUAUAUUAUUAUUAACGCAACUAUGCGUAUUAAGGCUUACUAAAUUAAUUUUCAAUAACAAAUUUUUGGACUUCCAUCAGAAGUUCCAGGAAGCGA